Molecule: long non-coding RNA, 1027 nt
Filed under: Geospiza fortis (medium ground-finch)
Lineage: Eukaryota; Metazoa; Chordata; Aves; Passeriformes; Thraupidae
Description: lncRNA (ENSGFOG00000005709.1)
Source: RNAcentral
CAAGGAAGGAUUUCCUGAGCACGUGUUGCCUGUGAACUGCCCCACAGGGUGCCUGGCACUGCUGGCCUUCUGCAGUGAUCUGUGAUGCCAAACCUCUUAGUGGUGAUCAAAGCAAGUGGUUUGGACCCUUCCAAAGACCACACUCUUCAGUUCGUGGUAAGGAUUAUUCUGAACAAAAACAACAACAACCAAUCCAAAAACCAGCAAAUAGAAACCACCAAAAAAAAAAAAAAAAAGAAGCAAAAAAACCUUUUUCUUGGAUUUUAAAAACCAAUUCAAAACUAUUUAUUACUAUUAUUUUCCCCCAGCCUAGAGGCUCCUGCCCCUCUCAGCAUGCCUGGAUCCCUAAGAUCAGUGAGGUUUCCAGACUUCCUCCCUCUUUUUGUCCUGCACGAGAGCGCUUUGCUAGGCGCGCAAGUGUGCGUGUGAGGAGCGGAGAGCAGCGCCGGGAGGGAGAUUGGGACAAUAGCUGGAGUGGAUUAUUCAUUCCCGUAGGGCAAUACUUCCCUGUAUGGGCUCCAGGAUGCAGUUGGAAGCUUGGGAACAAAGCGGGCAUCGAAUGUCAAGGAAACUCAAAACGGAAGACGGGAUGCUACUUGAAAGUGUGACUCAAAAAAAAAAGGUUUUGCUUUGCAGCCAUCAGUAGCACCAGGAGACAGCUCCAUUAAAAAAGUAGUUUUCCACUGCUCUUGAAAAGCCGUUAUUUUUUACAUCGCUUUUAGGAAGAUAGAUUAACAAAACAUCACAUUUCAAGCCACUCUGAGAUGUAAUUAAAUGGAGGAGCCGGUUUGUAUUCUCCUAUGGCUUUUACAGAAGUUGCAGUGAUCCAAAGUCAGGUUGCUGUGUCAGAGUGGCAUUUUUAUUAAUGAGAAUACAAAAAGCUUGCAUAUUCUUAGCCCGGCUUGAAUUUAGUUGCUAAGCAACCGCUGUAUGGUAAUUCAUCCGCGAAAUUUAAAUCUUGGAGAAAGGAUCCUGCGUUUUGCUGAAUGGUCGCCACGAGGAAAACAACUUGUGGGACCCGCGGCAG